CCCCCCGCAGUCCCUCCGCUUCGUC
Molecule: microRNA, 25 nt
Filed under: Callorhinchus milii (elephant shark)
Lineage: Eukaryota; Metazoa; Chordata; Chondrichthyes; Chimaeriformes; Callorhinchidae
Description: eshark_NOVEL_52
Source: RNAcentral